This 484-nucleotide ribosomal RNA is filed under the name uncultured bacterium. RNAcentral describes it as "partial 16S ribosomal RNA". It matches the Rfam family "Bacterial small subunit ribosomal RNA", at positions 30 to 507 of the family's 1533-position model. The record is from RNAcentral.
AUUGAACGCUGGCGGCAUGCCUAACACAUGCAAGUCGAACGGUAACAGGUCUCUUGCUCCUGACUUGUGGCGCGGGCGGGAGUAUUACACCGAAACGUGUCCCAUCGUGGGGGGUAUCGCGUCCGAAGAUGUGCUCUUAUACCAUACGCGCUACGAGUGAGAACGGGGGGGAUCUUGGGAUCUCGCGCUCUCAGCUGACCCUAGGGCGGAUUAGCUAGUUGGUGGGGUAAAGGCUUACCAAGGCGACGAUCCGUAUCUGGUCUGAGAGGAUGAUCAGCCACACUGGAACUGAGACACGGUCCAGACUCCUACGGGAGGCAGCAGUGGGGAAUAUUGGACAAUGGGCGAAAGCCUGAUCCAGCCAUGCCGCGUGUGUGAAGAAGGUCUUCGGAUUGUAAAGUACUUUUAGUCGGGAGGAAAAGCAGUAAGCUAAUACAGAGCUGUUUUGACGUUACCGAAAGAAUAAGCACCGGCUAACUACGUG